This 425-nucleotide unclassified non-coding RNA is filed under the name soil metagenome. Its description in RNAcentral is "partial contains 5.8S ribosomal RNA, internal transcribed spacer 2, and large subunit ribosomal RNA". The stretch from base 1 to 120 matches the Rfam family "5.8S ribosomal RNA", at positions 35 to 154 of the family's 154-position model. The record is from RNAcentral.
GAUGAAGAACGUAGCGAAAUGCGAUAAGUAAUGUGAAUUGCAGAUUUCAGUGAAUCAUCGAAUCUUUGAACGCACCUUGCGCCUUGUGGUAUUCCACAAGGCAUGCCCGUUUGAGUAUCAUUAAAUCAUCAACUCUAAAACCUUUGUGGUUUUUUUUAGAGCUUGGUCUUGAGGGUUUUGCAGGCUUUUUUUUUUUUCGAGUCUGCUCCCUUUAAAUGCAUUAGCGAGACUUCCCUAUGCUGAACCGUAUCUUUGACGUGAUAAUUAUCUGCGUCGAAUUUUGGUUCUCGUUGGGCUUGCUUCUAAUCGUCUGUUAAAGACAAAACGGAUUUGGGUGCAUAUAUGCGCCUUUUUCCAAAACCUUUUUUUGAUCUCAAAUCGGGUAGGACUACCCGCUGAACUUAAGCAUAUCAAUAAGCGGAGGA